CACAUAGUCAGGAUAUGUGAACUUGGGUCUUCUCAACUUCAAGGGCAGCCCUCUCUACCAUGAUACUAACUGGAACAAUAAGUGGGGAAAAAGGAAAGGAAAUAAGGAAAGACUGCUCUGAGGAAGUAAUACCUGAACUGCAUGUAGGAGGAAGUCAAAGAUUCUGAGAGGUCUUUUUGUGGUGGCAAAGAAUUGAAAAAUUGAGGAGCUGCAUUCGUUGAGAAAUGGCUGAACAAGGGGUAUGUGAUUAUAAUGGAGUACCACUGUGCUAUAAGAAAUGGUGAGCAGGAUGAUUUUGGAAAAACCUGGGCUUACACAAGUUGAUGAAAAAUGAAGUGGACAGAACCAGAAAAACUAUUAUACACACCAGCAAAAUUUUUUAUUUUAACUUUAUUUAAAAAAAUAUUUUUUCAUGUUGACAUGAUUCAUUUUCUUUCCCUCCUUUCUUCCCUCUUCCCUCCCAGAGCCGAUAAGCAAUUCCACUGGGUUGUACAAAUGUUAUCAGAUAUGCUACUUCAAGGAAGAGAAAUACCCAUUAAUUCUAUAAAGUAUUAUCUACAGACCAGAAAUGAAACCCAUAUUUUCCUUCCACAUAAAGAGAGAAAGAAUCAAAACCAUUCUAUUUGCCUGAAUGGGCUACUUUUACAGUGUGAUCAGGAUAUAGCAUUCUACAUAUCAUUAUUAAAGGACUAUUUGUUUGUGUUCUUUAUAAAGGCUAAUUGCUGUGAAAGGGAAAGGCUGAAUGUCUCUUAGUCUCAACUGAAUAAGAUAUGAAGUGAAUAUUGUCCUUUGCAAGAGAACAGAAUAGAUAAAGCUUAAAGAUUCAGGUGAGUUAAUUAUAAUAAUAAUAAUAGCUAACAUUUAUAUAGUGCUUCCUAUUUGCCAGGCACUGUGCUAAGUGGUUUACAAUUAUUAUCUCAUUUAGCCUCACCACAAUCCUGGGAGGUAGGUGCUAUUAUUAUCCCCAUUUUAUAGUUAAGGAAACUGAGGCAAACAGAGAUUAAGUGACUUACCUAGAGUCACACAGCUAGUAAGUGUCCUCAAACAUAAUAAACCCAUGAUGGUGAACCUAUAGUACA
This 1079-nucleotide long non-coding RNA is filed under the name Monodelphis domestica (gray short-tailed opossum). RNAcentral's name for it is "lncRNA (ENSMODG00000047221.1)". Lineage: Eukaryota; Metazoa; Chordata; Mammalia; Didelphimorphia; Didelphidae. The record is from RNAcentral.